UACCAGCACCCCGAGUGGUCGGGACGAUUAUUGGGCCUAAAGCAUCCGUAGCCGGUCCUACAAGUCUUCCGUUAAAUCCACCUGCUUAACAGAUGGGCUGCGGAAGAUACUAUAGAGCUAGGAGGCGGGAGAGGCAAGCGGUACUCGAUGGAUAGGGGUAAAAUCCGUUGAUCCAUUGAAGACCACCAGUGGCGAAGGCGGCUUGCCAGAACGCGCUCGACGGUGAGGGAUGAAAGCUGGGGGAGCAAACCGG
This 253-nucleotide ribosomal RNA is filed under the name uncultured bacterium. Its description in RNAcentral is "partial 16S ribosomal RNA". It matches the Rfam family "Archaeal small subunit ribosomal RNA", at positions 474 to 727 of the family's 1478-position model. The record is from RNAcentral.